GGAGGGUGCGAGCGUUAAUCGGAAUUACUGGGCGUAAAGCGCGCGUAGGCGGCUUGGUCAGUCGGAUGUGAAAGCCCCGGGCUUAACCUGGGAAUUGCAUUCGAUACUGCCAGACUAGAGUAUGGGAGAGGGAAGCGGAAUUUCCGGUGUAGCGGUGAAAUGCGUAGAUAUCGGAAGGAACACCAGUGGCGAAGGCGGCUUCCUGGCCCAAUACUGACGCUGAGGUGCGAAAGCGUGGGGAGCGAACAGGGAUUAGAUACCCUGGUAGUCCACGCCGUAAACGAUGGGAACUAGAUGUCGGGAGGAUUUGCCUCUCGGUGUCGCAGCUAACGCGUUAAGUUCUCCGCCUGGGGAGUACGCCGGCAACGGUA
Molecule: ribosomal RNA, 371 nt
Filed under: uncultured organism
Description: partial 16S ribosomal RNA
Rfam family: Bacterial small subunit ribosomal RNA
Source: RNAcentral